Long non-coding RNA from Esox lucius (northern pike), 1506 nucleotides. The record is from Ensembl. Lineage: Eukaryota; Metazoa; Chordata; Actinopteri; Esociformes; Esocidae.
GUAGGCUCAACCUUUCUUAUUGGAGGGUAAUAGACUGUGUAAUGGUAAAGUAAAACCUAAAGAAUAUCAACAUCUUGGACUCACAGGAUAUCUGCUUGCUAAUACUCAUUCAACAAAUCGCCUUGCAAGUCAUGUUCCCUUCUGUGUGUCUCUGUGAUGUAUAAUUUCACAUGCACACAUUUUGACAUCAAUCUCUUGUUCCCAGACAACCUUGCUUCAGACGUGGAAGCAUAUAAAGAAAAAAAAACAAUGCCCCCAAAUAAAUGUGUUUUAUAGCUUGUCCAUGGGCAACUUAAAUGCAGUACAUGUGCACGAGAGGAAGCAACUUAGAGAACUGGACUGGCUUUAUCUGGAUGAUCAUCAGAGCCAGAUUCUUCAAUGGCAGGUAGCCCUGGGAGACAGGAGUUCCAAUCAUGGUGCUUGGCUAUUGAAAUCGCGUUCCUUUGGAUCCUUCAGCACCACGGCCAACAGGGCACAAUAUAAAGACACCCGCCUGAUGAAGAAGAGGCUGAUGAGGCAGUGAUAGAAGUGUCUCUGACUGUUGGCCUUGUUUUGAAGACCCUGGAGAAACUCUUGAUGAAAACUUUUCCUUGUUGAUGAGGAGCUUUGGCCACACAGACCACCAGAAAGAGAAUGUCUUCAUGAUGUUUUAAAUUGUUGUACUGUGGUUUAUUUUUAUGGGCCUGAUGUCAUUCACUGUGUUACCAUCAAUCACAAUGACUACACUCAUCCCCUUUCAAUGCAUGUGUACAUUUCAGAUCAACACAGUAAAAAUAAAAACUUCCAAUGUUAUUUCCACUUUACACAAUUACAAAAGAAUGAAUACUACCAGCUUCUCUGCAAUUACUUUUACAGGGAUUCAAUGUGAAGCUAGUCAGCAUCUAGUCAGCAUCUAGUCAGUUGUUUCAGGAGGACGGGGAGCAUGCCUAAUUCAAUAAUAUACAUGAUAGUCAUGCAAUAGGCUGGCUAGUUUUGAUGGAUUCAAGGUUAAAUCUACUUAUUCAAGUGAUUUUGUCAGACCACUCAGUUUAUGACCAGUGUUUUGGACGGGUAUGACAUAUGCCAUAUGUUAACACAACAAAAGCUGGAAGCGGACAUGCAGUCAAAUGACCUUUAAUGUUCUUUAUUUCACUGUAAAAACCAGUCAACUCCAGUACGGUAUUCAAGCAAAUUGGAUUUGAAAUGAUACAAUUACUAGUAUUUCAGUGGUUCACAAUUUUUGCUUUAUUUUGAAGGUAUGUUUAUUUUGAAGGUACCAUAUCAGAUUAACCUUUAAGAGAUUGCAGAAUAUUUUCCCACAUGAAUACUACAACUGUAAAAAAAAAAAAAAAAGCCCCCUAUGGGGGUAGCUGUCCAAGUCACUGCCUUGCAAUAAAACUGUGUUGUUACAUACAGUCAGGUGUUUGAAUCUUAUCUUUGUUGUGGCAUAUUGACAAUGCCUGGGGGGGUCAUGCGCUUGGUGGAAACUUUCACUGUUAUUUGAAGGGUAAAAAAGGGUAACAUAAA